This 577-nucleotide ribosomal RNA is filed under the name uncultured bacterium. Its description in RNAcentral is "bacterial SSU rRNA". It matches the Rfam family "Bacterial small subunit ribosomal RNA", at positions 338 to 916 of the family's 1533-position model. The record is from RNAcentral.
CCUACGGGAGGCAGCAGUGAGGAAUAUUGGUCAAUGGACGUAAGUCUGAACCAGCCAAGUAGCGUGCAGGAAGACGGCCCUAUGGGUUGUAAACUGCUUUUGUAUGGGGAUAAAGUCAGUCACGUGUGAUUGUUUGCAGGUACCAUACGAAUAAGGACCGGCUAAUUCCGUGCCAGCAGCCGCGGUAAUACGGAAGGUCCAGGCGUUAUCCGGAUUUAUUGGGUUUAAAGGGAGCGUAGGCUGGAUAUUAAGUGUGUUGUGAAAUGUAGACGCUCAACGUCUGACUUGCAGCGCAUACUGGUUUCCUUGAGUACGCACAACGUUGGCGGAAUUCGUCGUGUAGCGGUGAAAUGCUUAGAUAUGACAAAGAACUCCGAUUGCGAAGGCAGCUGACGGGAGCGCAACUGACGCUGAAGCUCGAAGGUGCGGGUAUCGAACAGGAUUAGAUACCCUGGUAGUCCGCACAGUAAACGAUGGAUGCCCGCUGUUGGUACCUGGUAUCAGCGGCUAAGCGAAAGCAUUAAGCAUCCCACCUGGGGAGUACGCCGGCAACGGUGAAACUCAAAGGAAUUGACGG